RNAcentral lists this transfer RNA (66 nucleotides) under Spondylus violaceus. RNAcentral's name for it is "tRNA-Lys". Lineage: Eukaryota; Metazoa; Mollusca; Bivalvia; Pectinida; Spondylidae. The record is from RNAcentral.
GGGCUUGUAGUCAAUUUAUGAUUCCGGGCUUUUGACUUGGAGGUCGGGUUGGUUCCCGCGGGCCCG